AUAAGUAUUAUUUUUACAGUCUUCAAUUACCUAUAUAAAAUGUUUAUAGGCUAAUUAUCCCGUUUGGGCCAAAGCACGAACGUUAUGGUACGAUCGUAGUUAUUUAUUUAAUUAUAAUAUAUAAUAACAGAAAUAUACUAAAUAGCUAACUGCUAUCCAGCAGUUCGUCUGCUAUCUGUCUGUGACCAUUUAAUUCGAAAUCCAUGAACCUUAACAUAUACUUUUACCUAUACAAUUGUAUAACUAUUAAAUCUAUUAUUAGGUCUUUUUACCAUUGUUACCGAGGUAAUCGAAACCAUGAUUAUUAACAAUAUUGCAUAGAUACAACAGUUAUCACAAUAUAAAAAUCGAUUGUUGAGUCUCGAAUUAAAUGGUGGAUUGAAACUUCACUUCUUAUCACUAGUAACAACUAGUUUAUCGUACAUAUCUGUGCGUAUGAUGGAUAUUUAACAGGCUAUAAAAAAGUGACCUAUAAGUCGAAUUCUCACUGAUACUCCUAGCGGAUUAAUCUCUUACUAUAGUGUCGUCAUGGUAUAAACAAUAAAUUACUUUUAUUACGAUCCUAUAUAAAUAUUACACAUACAAGAUGACCGACGGUAAUCUGACGUUUCUUUAAUGGGUAGUAGUUAGCCUGCAGUGGUGGUAGAGAGAUAAACGACUGUUCAUUACUUUCGGCAUUUAAAUUUAAAUUCCAUUUUAGUAGUUAUGGAAAAAAUGGUCGAGCAUUUUGUGUUCACGUAUGACAUAUAUGUUGAAAAAAAUGAGGAUCAAUUUUGCUGUGACUUUGUAGCUAUUAUUUCAUAUGCAUUUUAAUCGUGGACGCUACGGUACCAUUCCCAUCUGAAAUAAGAUUUUAAGUUUUGUGAACUAAUUGUGAACAACAAGAUGUCUUGUGAUGAAGAAGCCAUUAAUUUCCAAGAAAACAAUAAGAACACACAUUUUUUUUUUUGAACAUGAAAACGACUAACUAAAUAGACGAUACUUGAAAAAUAGAAUAAAUGUUUUUUUUUUUCAAUUAGAUGGGGCCACCCCUUACAAUGUGCUCUAUGCUGGUGGUUCGAGGCAUGUUUUCAAUAAGGGUCAUCUCUCGUUUCAGAAAUGUCCUAUGGCCACUGAUUUUAGUACUUGGAACUAUUUAUUUAGGGGUACCUAAAAUCGUGUUUAUACACUCAAAAAUUCUGCACAUUAACCAUAUUGAAUUGUAAGAUAGUUCGAGUAACGGGUGCAUUUCAAAAACGGCUGGAAAAUUACAUUCAGGAGGAUUUGAUACUACUUACUCAACGUAAAUAUUCACACAUUAUAUACAUUUGAAAUGACAUGUAAUAACAAUCAAUAUUGAAUAAUACAUUUCAUAUUUUACUAAAAAAAAUACUGAGUACAAUCCAUUUCAAAAACGUCACGUUUCUUGUGUAUACUGUAUAUACAGGGUAAUUCUUUUAUCAUGAACCAACA
Molecule: non-coding RNA, 1452 nt
Organism: Cinara cedri
Lineage: Eukaryota; Metazoa; Arthropoda; Insecta; Hemiptera; Aphididae
Source: the annotation of a GenBank genome assembly